This is a long non-coding RNA of Solea senegalensis (Senegalese sole), 437 nucleotides long. RefSeq lists it as uncharacterized. NCBI's taxonomy places the organism in Eukaryota, Metazoa, Chordata, Actinopteri, Pleuronectiformes, Soleidae. The record is from RefSeq and is a predicted model, not a curated record. The transcript has 2 exons.
AGUCCAGCUGUCUGGAUUUCAGCAGCAGCAGAGUUGGAUAGAGAAGGGCACAGGGAUCACUCGGGGAAAGGAGAAGAGAGGAGGAGGAGGGGGAGGAGGACCACGACGAUGUGGAGCAGAGGCAGGGUGGAGACAGCGAUGAUGCUGCGAUUGUUCUGUGGUCACUGCGGUUGUCUUCCCAGCCUUUGGACAUCAGUGACCAUCAUCACCCGCUGACAGCGAUGACUGCAUUGUUUGACUCGGAGUUUAUUUACACGACACAGUGAUAAGAUGUGAAACUGCACGGCUGUGUUAUUUUUUUGCAUUGUUUCAAAGGUUUACACUGACACAAAGCAAACUUGUCAUGGGUUUGGCCGUGCGGCCGUUUGUAUAGUUCCACAUAAUGUUGUUUGUCUUAAUAAAAGAAUUCAGAGUUGGUCUGAACGCACGCACACAAA